AUCCAGCUGACGAGUUCCCAUAUAGAACGAAACGUGCGUUCUGGAU
Schistosoma curassoni is the source of this 46-nucleotide non-coding RNA. The record is from Rfam. Lineage: Eukaryota; Metazoa; Platyhelminthes; Trematoda; Strigeidida; Schistosomatidae.